GAUAAACGCUGGCGGCGCACAUAAGACAUGCAAGUCGAACGAACUUAACUCAUUCUUUAGUUUGAGAGCGGUUAGUGGCGGACUGGUGAGUAACACGUAAGCAACCUGCCUAUUAGAGGGGAAUAACAGUGAGAAAUCAUUGCUAAUACCGCAUAUGCUAACAGUAUCGCAUGAUACAGUUAGGAAAGGAGUAAUCCGCUAAUAGAUGGGCUUGCGUCUGAUUAGAUAGUUGGUGGGGUAACGGCCUACCAAGUCGACGAUCAGUAGCCGGACUGAGAGGUUGAACGGCCACAUUGGGACUGAGAUACGGCCCAGACUCCUACGGGAGGCAGCAGUGGGGAAUAUUGGGCAAUGGGGGAAACCCUGACCCAGCAACGCCGCGUGAAGGAAGAAGGCCUUCGGGUUGUAAACUUCUUUUACCAGGGACGAAGAACGUGACGGUACCUGGAGAAAAAGCAACGGCUAACUACGUG
Molecule: ribosomal RNA, 473 nt
Filed under: uncultured bacterium
Lineage: Bacteria
Description: bacterial SSU rRNA
Rfam family: Bacterial small subunit ribosomal RNA
Source: RNAcentral